GAAGUGAGGCGCGGGGGCGGGCUAAAGCGGUGAUUGGCCCGCAGUGCAUCGCGUCAUAGCCGUCACUCGGGAUUGGUUCUUUGCUAAUAAAUCACUUCUGCGCAGAUGUAGGUCAGAGCUCAGGAUUCGUGCCGAUAACUAUAGUAAGCUAAACAACAGAUAGAAUAUUGGAAGCGGCCGUUACUUGGUGAUGUGAAAAAAAAAUAUUCGGCUAUAUUCGUUAUGGACGCUUCUUUAUAUUUUCGACUGGAAUAAUACUACUUAUUAUAAACAUAACUUAUGUCGCAGCAAACUGAACAUCCUUGGCAGUCGUUACGGGUAGUCAGAAGCCAGUAAGUCUGACACCAGUCGAACCAAGGGGUAUUGGGUUGCCCGGGUAACUGGGUUGAGGAGGUCAGAUAGGGCAGUGGCUUCUUGUAAAGCACUGGUACUCAGCUGAAUCCGGUUAGACUGGAAGCCGACCCCAACAUAGUUGGGAAAAGGCUCGGAGGAUGAGGAUGAUGAUGUCGCAGUAAACUGGUUAUAAUAAUUAAACAAGUCGGCCGAACUACUUUUAGACGUUUCAUUGAAAGGCGUUAUUCAUUCAAAGGGCUGCGAUAUUUAUAUUAUUAUUUUUUAAAUGCAAGCCUGCCUGAUCUAGUUUUUUUUUUUUAUAUCGCCAAGUUAACAACAAAUCCUUUGAGAUUACUAAGUAGCUAACGAAAAUAGUCUGAAUAUAUAAGUUAUAUAUAAUAAUGUAUAUUAGCAUUAAUAUAGUAUAUGCUAAGAAAACUUAAGGUACCUUUUGAAUGCUAGCUGUCGACCGCACAUGCCGACUGCAUGAGUCGGCCGCAGCUGCACUACUGGUUUGAAUGUAUUUACAUGACACCGUUUUGUAUCAAAGCGGCAGCAAGACGUGCCUGCGUCGCUGUCAGCUAUCUGACAUUUUUUUUAAAUGGAAAAUCAUGAAAUUACAGCUUCCGCUAUGAGUUAGCAGUGUGAAGGAGUGUCAGACUCCUACUGACUAAAACCCAUCAUGUUCCUUCGCAGGCCUUUUAUGUACCAGGACCGCGGUAACACGCGCAGCCAAUCCCGCAGCCCUUAGCUCUGGUGGGCCCGCUGAGAUAUCUGACAUCUAAAUUCUAACAUUAAUAUCAAAGGGUGAAAAUUCAAGUAUUUACAUACAAACCAAUAGUGCUGCUGCGGCCGACCGCACAUGCAGUCGCGGCAUGUGCGGUCGACAGCUAGUAUUCAAAAGGUACCUUAAGCAAAUAAACCUAACUUAUGAAUUAAAUAUAAUGUUCAACUUAUAUAAAAUAAAUAAAAUAAGUAAUUUAAACUCUAGUAUUACACGGUAUCACAAUAUUUUUUAUUUAACAUUUGAAAUUACAAUUUGAUCUCAAUUUUGUAUUUUAUAUUUUACACUGCCUUAAUAAUAUGGAAUCUCGAUUUCAGUAUUUUUUUUAUAACACAUAUUUAGUUUUUGUUUAUAAAAGUAGGUUAAGGUUGUAACAGAUACACUUAAUUCAAGUUUUAAAAUCUAUUCUUAUAUUUUUGACCUAGGCUUCCAGUCUGUCUUUUAGUUUUUUUUUUUUUUUAUGGAGAAACUUCUAUCUGAUACCUAUAAUCAUCGGUACGAAUCUUGAGCGCUGACCUUCAUCUGCGCAGCAGUAAUUUAUUGGGUCCCUUUGGUGGUAUGAAUUGAGUCGCGGGGGCGGGCUAAAGCGGUGAUUGGCCCGCAGUGCAUCGCGUCAUAGCCGUCACUCGGGAUUGGUUCUUUGCUUAUAAAUAAAUCACAUAUGCGCAGGUGAAGGUUAGCGCUCAAAUUCCUGCCGAUGGUUCUCCAUGUAGGUAUCCUCAAAUUAACCGCUCCGAACUUAGGGUGCAUCUACACGGUGCAUGUAGCUGGAGCAAGCUAACAUGCGCAAGUGACAAGAGCACGCGGGUGGGUAUGUUGCUUUGGUACAUGCGCGAGUCGCUGGACGCGCACGUUUUUAAAAUGCAUGUAACCCGCGCAUGUGCCUCAACAUGCGCAAGCUACUUGCACCGUGUAGAUGCACACUUAUUUAAUGCAAAAUUGUACAUACUUCUCGCUACUAAUAUCACAAAAAAACAGCUUUAUAUUUGCGAAAUUUUAUUUUGUAUGUUUUUAUUUUUAUUCUUAUUGAAUAUCACAAAAUAAUGAUUAAUAAAAUAACUGAAUAAAAAUAUAUUUAUUGUAUGUAGUAGAUUAGUUAAGUGUAGGCUUAAGUAAACGCAUAAUAAUGAUCACAGUUUACUAAAUAAGUAUUAUUUAUUAAGUUUUAUAAAUACAUUAUGGACACU
Long non-coding RNA from Helicoverpa armigera (cotton bollworm), 2304 nucleotides. RefSeq lists it as uncharacterized. The transcript is spliced from 2 exons. Lineage: Eukaryota; Metazoa; Arthropoda; Insecta; Lepidoptera; Noctuidae. The record is from RefSeq and is a predicted model, not a curated record.